Molecule: ribosomal RNA, 164 nt
Filed under: Allium przewalskianum
Lineage: Eukaryota; Viridiplantae; Streptophyta; Magnoliopsida; Asparagales; Amaryllidaceae
Description: 5.8S ribosomal RNA
Rfam family: 5.8S ribosomal RNA
About the family: 5.8S ribosomal RNA (5.8S rRNA) is a component of the large subunit of the eukaryotic ribosome.
Source: RNAcentral
UGAAUGACUCUUGGCAAUGGAUAUCUUGGCUCUCGUUUCGAUGAAGAACGUAGCGAAAUGCGACACUUGGUGUGAAUUGCAGAAUCCCGUGAACCAUCGAGUCUUUGAAUGCAAGUUGCGCUCGAGGCCAUUAGGUCGAGGGCACGUCUGUUUGGGUGUCAUAC